This 447-nucleotide ribosomal RNA is filed under the name uncultured bacterium. Its description in RNAcentral is "SSU rRNA". It matches the Rfam family "Bacterial small subunit ribosomal RNA", at positions 26 to 518 of the family's 1533-position model. The record is from RNAcentral.
AGAACGAACGCUGGCGGCAGGCUUAACACAUGCAAGUCGAACGCGUGUAGCAAUACACGAGUGGCGCACGGGUGAGUAACGCGUGGAUAUCUGCCUUUUGGUUCGGAAUAACCCCGGGAAACUGGGGCUAAUACCGGAUGGUUCCUACGGGAUAAAGAUUUAUCGCCAAAAGAUGAGUCCGCGUACGAUUAGCUAGUUGGUGAGGUAAUGGCUCACCGAGGCGACGAUCGUUAGCUGGUCUGAGAGGACGAUCAGCCACACUGGGACUGAGACACGGCCCAGACUCCUACGGGAGGCAGCAGUGGGGAAUAUUGGACAAUGGGGGCAACCCUGAUCCAGCCAUGCCGCGUGAGUGAUGAAGGCCUUCGGGUUGUAAAGCUCUUUUGGCGGGACGAUGAUGACGGUACCCGCAGAAUAAGCCCCGGCUAACUUCGCGCCAGCAGCCGC